GCAUAACGCGAAGAACCUUACCAGGCCUUGACAUGCAGAGAACUUUCCAGAGAUGGAUUGGUGCCUUCGGGAACUCUGACACAGGUGCUGCAUGGCUGUCGUCAGCUCGUGUCGUGAGAUGUUGGGUUAAGUCCCGUAACGAGCGCAACCCUUGUCCUUAGUUACCAGCACGUUAUGGUGGGCGACUCUAAGGAGACUGCCGGUAACAAACCGGAGGAAGGUGGGGAGUGACGUCAAGUCAUCAUGGCCCUUACGGCCUGGGCUACACACGUGCUACAAUGGUCGGUACAGAGGGUUGCCAAGCCGCGAGGUGGAGCUAAUCUCACAAAACCGAUCGUAGUCCGGAUCGCAGUCUGCAACUCGACUGCGUGAAGUCGGAAUCGCUAGUAAUCGCGAAUCAGAAUGUCG
Molecule: ribosomal RNA, 408 nt
Filed under: uncultured bacterium
Lineage: Bacteria
Description: bacterial SSU rRNA
Rfam family: Bacterial small subunit ribosomal RNA
Source: RNAcentral